AGAGCCCUAGCAGGGAAUAAGAGCCCACCUGCGGGUUGCCAGGGCAACUGGAGGCAGCGAAUGACCCACACCUGAGAGUGGUCAGCAGGCUGUAAGGGGCAAGGCCUGGCCCUUAUAAAGCCCAGGGCUGAGGCCAGGCUGGCAGUUCCCUGCCAGCAGCCAGAGAGGCAGGAGCUCCUGGAGUAGGGAUGCGAGAAGCAGUGAGAACCGCAGGGCCUGCAGCUGCACAUGGGGGAGAGGCCACAUUUGGCAGCCAGGUCACUGGUGCACACAUCUGGGGCCCUGCAGAUGUACCAGCUCUGCCAGAGGAGGACCCUGGACAUGACCCUCCUCCUGGACCACCUGGUCAUGGCAUCAGAGGACCAGCUGACAGAAACUCAGGAAGAAGACAUUACAUGGAAUUCUAGAGGCAAAACAAAGAUAUAUUUAUGGAGCCUUCCUUAAAAUUAGGAAUUCAAUAAUCAUCAGAUACUGUGACACACGGAAUUAUAAAAAAAAAAAAGAUCUAUGCAAGG
Long non-coding RNA from Alligator sinensis (Chinese alligator), 515 nucleotides. RefSeq lists it as uncharacterized. The transcript has 4 exons. Lineage: Eukaryota; Metazoa; Chordata; Crocodylia; Alligatoridae. The record is from RefSeq and is a predicted model, not a curated record.